UUUGGUCGUGUAUUGGUAUCACGUUGGUGUCGUCGUCGUCGUCGUCGUCCAAAGACAUUUGGUUUUCGCACUCUAACUUUAGUAAAAGUAAAUAGAAAUCUAUGAAAUUCAAACACAAGGUUUAUGACCAUAAAAGGAAGGUUGGGAUUGAUUUUGGGUGUUUUGGUCCCAACAGUUUAGGAAUUAGGGGCCAAAAAGGGCCCAAAUAAGCAUUUUUUUUUUU
RNAcentral lists this long non-coding RNA (223 nucleotides) under Mytilus galloprovincialis (Mediterranean mussel). The record is from RNAcentral. Lineage: Eukaryota; Metazoa; Mollusca; Bivalvia; Mytilida; Mytilidae.